Molecule: long non-coding RNA, 3861 nt
Organism: Gopherus flavomarginatus (Mexican gopher tortoise)
Lineage: Eukaryota; Metazoa; Chordata; Testudines; Testudinidae
Exons: 3
Source: RefSeq, a predicted model, not a curated record
CGGGCAGGAAUGCGGGGUGGCAGCUCACGCGCUGUUCACGUGCCCGCGCUGGCAGGGACAGGGGGACCCGUCUGCUCCUUUUCCCUUCGCUCUGCCGGGCCGGGUCUGAACCGGGGCAAGGGGUGCCCGGGCUGCGUGUGCAAACCCGCACACGGUGCCCCUGGCUGGGGGAUACCCCGUGACGCAGGUUGCCAGCAGCCACGCGGAGCGGGCCUGUUUGCAUGUUGUUAAGGAGCUGACGCUCUCAGUGAAGACAUUUUCCCUGCAAUAUUUAUGGCAACACAGUGCGGAUUUUGCAUGAGCAGGGACUGGCGGACUCCAAACCUGGGCAUUUUAAGAGUUCUUUGUUUCAGAACUCCUCAAGGUCAAGUUCUACUACAACCUAUUUUUCUACUGAAGACAAGCCCCAAAUGGAGAAAUGGCACAGAUUAUUAUAGAAUGAAUUAAAAAUGGUAAAAUAAUUAAAGUGAAAAUUAUACUACAAUGCAAAGGAAAUUAAAUAAAACUUAAAAUAAUGUGAGUGCAUCAGAUUUGUGUAUCAUUCUGUUUUUUUCCUUUGCUUUUAAAGUAUUUAUUUGUUUUAGUUCUGUUGGGGUUGUAGCCUACUAAUGUAAUCUGCUAUGUGUAGGAAAUGUUGAGUCCCUAGCUAGUACUGAGAUUCAGAAUGAAUUUAGAAUACUUCCAGGAGUAUGUUUUUUAAUUUCACGGAGGAUAUGGAUGAUGAUUGACACAGUAGUAAUAGUUACUAAUUUGGACUAAAGUGUACAACAAUCAUUAUUACUAACAUGAACUAUGCUAAUAGUUUUAAAGUGGUUCCAAAACUGAAACAACACUAACAGUAUCACCCUUCCAACCAUAGCUUUCAAGUCUCCACGUUCAGAGGUCAGACAAUUUUUGCUCUUCUCUGCUGUUCCAUCAGACCUUUGCUUGCCUCCCCGUUGUCUGCCUUGUGUUAUAGCUGAUGCCAGUGACCCUUAGUCCGCAGACCAGACUGGCACUUUAUAAAACUUUAAUAACAAGGAUAACUACUUUUCUGCAGUGUUCAAUCAGGUUCAAAAUGUUGGGCUGCAUCAAUAUUAGAACCUUACUUAAAAAAAAAAAAAGAGAAUGAAGGCACAGAAAAAAACUGAUAAAAAAGGGGACGUGGGAUGACAGAGUCAACAGAGGUCAGUUAAUCACUUGCAUUCACUGAAUUUAACAGUAAGUUAAGACCUUAUGCUUUGGCCUAACCUUCUCACCACACUUCAUCAUGUUCACUUUCCCUUCAUUCAAAAUUUCCAGUGAGAGUAUAGAGAUUUGUUCACAUUGCUGAGUGCUGUAAUAAUUUCUCUUUAAAACGGGACAGAUUCUCUCCUGCAUUAAGGCUUAUUACCACUCCACUGGUGCAAAGUAGCCCUAAUACCAUCUUAGCCAGCCACAGAAGGAUCACCUUUAUGUAGGCAUCCCUGUGUACCACAGAGCCACGACAGCAACUUUUAAGAAACCCUAUUACCACCAUAGAUCUAUGCCACCCAAGGAUCCCCUAUGUUUGUACACAUCUUUACCUCACAGUGAUCAUAGGCUGUUUUAACAAUCCCUCCAAGUAUUGGUAGCUGGCACUGUGAGAUUGGCCUGAUGCAGAGCAAUAGCAGGCUUGGGUGAUGGGUUUUACACAGUAUAUGAGUGCUUCUUGGCCACAGGUGUGAAUCAGGUGCAAUUCACAAACUUCUCUGCAGAGGAGCUGACUGAAUGUUAAGACAUAUGUACUGUGUGCUAAUAAUUUUCCUCUCUGUACAUCUUUCAGCAGUUGUCAAUGGCAUGCAGGAUUGAGUUUUUAGGGCAAGAUUGUUGCCAGAGUCAAAGGUAUGCACAUAAAGGUGUUAGUUAACCGGAGAGAAGGGCUCAAAGAACUUUCUUCCCUUUCAAACAUUUACAGGAAAUGGACAGCUAGAUAGGGGAGUACAUAAGGCACCCUCACAUGGGAUAUAGCAGUGAGUAUGAUGCUUGUGCAGACCUGGAAACUGGAAGGCAUUGCUCUUUGGGAAACUCAAGCUCCCCCGCCUCCCCCCGAGUUCCUGGUGGGAUGGUGCCAUUUCACAUCAGUUAGCUGUAUGCAUCCUGAACUCUGUUGACUUCAGUGAAAGUUUAGGUACACAAGCAUACAGCAAAAGAUAAGUGUUUGUAAAAUAGUUACAUCAUUUUAAACUCUUUAUGUUAAUUAUAGAAAAUUCAUAUUUACAUAAGAUUAAGUUGUCUUCAGUCAAUGAUGUUUAGUGAGAGUUUGGACCCAAUCUUGCAAUUGACACCUGGAGGGUACAGGACUGCACGUGAAAUUAGUCAAUUGUAGUGUUGGAGCUUUAGCUGGAAAAGAAUCGUAAUGUCUGGGGCAUUGAGUCACCACAAUCAGCUGGGCUGGCGAGCUCUCCACGCUGAUCAAACAGGAAAUGGGAAUUCAAAAGUCCCUGGGUCUUUAAUAGGGAAGGGUUGUUUUCUGUGUACCUGGCUGCUGUGCAGCAGAGUUGAAAAUGAUCUCCAGACUGGUCUCAGUGGAGAAUUGUGAGACACCUCCUUGAGCCCAAUUCAGUCAAUUUACACAAUGCUGUGCUAUACUGCCUCUCUGUCGACCCAUCAACAUUGAAUUAAGUGCUAUGCCUCUCAUGGAGGUGAAGUAAUUAAGUCAUGUUACAGGUGAGUUAGGUCGGAUGGAAGGGACCUGGUAGUGUAGACACAUACAUUAUUAAGUCAACAGAAGGUGGCUUCCCUCGAGAUAAGUUUGUACAGGCUGAACCUCUCUAAUCUGGCACUCCCUUGUCUGCCAACAUCCAUGGUCUGGCAUAGGUGUUGACUCCAUGGGUGCUCUGGGGCUGGAGCAACCCCUGGGAAAAAUUAGUGGGUGUGGAGUACCCACUUAUGCCAAGCUCCCCUCUCUCCUUCCCCCUCUCGCUCACCAGCAGCCCCGUGUUUAUCAACUCCUCUUCCUCCCUCCCAGCACUUCCUGAGCACCACGAACAGCUGAUUUGCAGCGUUCAAGCUCUGGGAGGGAGAGGGAGGACCUGGGACCGGUGGAUGGGAUCCUGGGUGAGGGGCCGGCUGCUGGGACCCCAGGUGGCAGUAGGGCUCCCGAGUGGGGGGCCAUGCUGGAUGCAAAGCCUACUUCCCAUUCCUUUGGAGACCUGCUGGCACGCUGCAUUGCCCUCCCGUGGUUUGGCAAAUUCUCUGGUUUGGCCAGGUCAGGUCAGGUCCCGAGGGUUCUGGACUAGAGAGGUUCAAUCUGUAGUGUAGACGAAGCUUUAGAUUAUGAUGAUCUGUUUUUGAAUGUAGAAUUUGUAGUUAAUCUGUAAGUGAGCAUGUAAACUUAGCAUUUAUGUGACAGCCUUCCAGAUUUUAAAUAUAGCUGAUCUUCUGUCCCUCCUUGUGUAAAUCCAAAAGCUAAAAAUAUUGUAGAACAGUAAGUCUUUGCAGCAGUUUACAGAUAGUAAAACAUGCCAGUACAUUUAUUAUAUAGAAACUGGUCCUAAAUUUUACCACUGUGAUGUAAAAUGUGUCAAACUAACAAAAAAACAUUUUUCUAUAAAUUAAAAGGAACUAUGAAAGACAUGUCUAUUUAUUUAGGUCCCAUAAAAUUAAAUAUCAUACAAUAUGAACUGAUCUGUUUUCAUGCUUCCAUAUAGCACAGAGGUGGGCAAACUUCUGCCCGCAGGCCACAGCCAGCCCCUGUCCUGCCUGGCCCUUGAGCUCCCAGCCCUUCUCCUGCUGUCACCCCUCCCCCACGCCACGCUGUUGCCCGGGCAGCAAUCUGGGCAGCAGGGUUGCACGUUUCUGCAGGGCAGCAUGGCAGCGUGUCUAGCUCCACCUGGGUGGUGUGGCUGCCACACUUGCUGC